UCAGAACGUCGUGAGACAGUUCGGUCUCUAUCUACAGUGGGCGUUAGAAAUUUGAGUGGAUCUGACUCUAGUACGAGAGGACCGAGUUGGACUGACCUCUGGUGUACCAGUUGUCCCGCCCGGGGCAUUGCUGGGUAGCUACGUCGGGAAGGGAUAAGCGCUGAAAGCAUAUAAGCGCGAAACCCACCACAAGAUGAGAUUUCUUUAAAGGGUCGUGGGAGACUACCACGUUGAUAGGCCACAGGUGGAAGUGCGGUAACGUGCGUAGCCGAGUGGUACUAAUUACCCGUAUGCUUAUGUACA
Molecule: ribosomal RNA, 303 nt
Filed under: Flavobacteriaceae bacterium
Lineage: Bacteria; Pseudomonadati; Bacteroidota; Flavobacteriia; Flavobacteriales; Flavobacteriaceae
Description: bacterial LSU rRNA
Rfam family: Bacterial large subunit ribosomal RNA
Source: RNAcentral